AAAACAUGCUCCUCUUUGACCGCAUCCACAGGACGGCGAGACCCAAGUUCCUGCCCCAAGAUGCCCCCAGAGACAUUCUGGUGCGUAUGCACUACCAUCACAUUAAAGACGCCAUUCUAAAAAACAGUAGAACCCGCAAAGAGCUUCCUGAAAAAUACCGGGACAUUAUGUUUUUCGCAGACGUCUCAGCGUUCACCCUCUAAAAACGUAGGGAGUUCCGAGACAUUACAGCGGCACUCAGAAAGAACUGAAUCGCAUAUCGCUGGGGAUACCCAGUUAAACUACUGGUGCAAAGGGCAGGCAAGACAGCGGUAAUAUCAAGCCCAGAAGAGGGAGCUGAAAUACUGCGAGAAUGGGGCUUCGGAAGAGAAUCCCAGAAGAACCUAUCUACAGAGCCAAGAAGAUUAACUCCAGAGUGGAAAAGAGCGAAACACACAUAGACUGUAACGCGUGACGCCCGGGUGGGCCUAAAGUCACGGACGAUGUGGUGCCGCAAGUAUAAAACUCAAGUGAAAUGUUUAUGUUAUAUGUCAGAGCCAACAAUUGAGGGAUUGUAUAGGACCAGGGGUACUCCAUGUGCGAAAUGUAAC
This is a non-coding RNA of Pelobates cultripes (western spadefoot toad), 590 nucleotides long. Lineage: Eukaryota; Metazoa; Chordata; Amphibia; Anura; Pelobatidae. The record is from the annotation of a GenBank genome assembly.